AGCUCCAAUAGCGUAUAUUAAAGUUGUUGCAGUUAAAAGCUCGUAGUUGGACUUCUGGUGGGAGCAAUCGGUCCGACGCUCUGCGUGGGUACUUGUAUUGUCUCCCGCCAUCCUUGGGAGAGCCUGUCUGGCAUUAGGUUGUCGGGCAGGGGAUCCCCAUCGUUUACUGUGAAAAAUUAGAGUGUUCAAAGCAGGCUUACGCCGUUGAAUAUAUUAGCAUGGAAUAAUAAGAUAGGACCUCGGGACUAUUUUGUUGGUUUGCGCCCCGUGGUAAUGAUUAAUAGGGACAGUUGGGGGUAUUCGUAUUGUGCUGUCAGAGGUGAAAUUCUUGGAUUAGCGCAAGACGAACUACUGCGAAAGCAUUUACCAAGGAUGUUUUCA
This 381-nucleotide ribosomal RNA is filed under the name uncultured eukaryote. RNAcentral describes it as "SSU rRNA". It matches the Rfam family "Eukaryotic small subunit ribosomal RNA", at positions 587 to 972 of the family's 1831-position model. The record is from RNAcentral.